Molecule: ribosomal RNA, 850 nt
Filed under: uncultured Streptococcus sp.
Lineage: Bacteria; Bacillati; Bacillota; Bacilli; Lactobacillales; Streptococcaceae
Description: bacterial SSU rRNA
Rfam family: Bacterial small subunit ribosomal RNA
Source: RNAcentral
UACAUGCAAGUAGAACGCUGAAGAGAGGAGCUUGCUCUUCUUGGAUGAGUUGCGAACGGGUGAGUAACGCGUAGGUAACCUGCCUUGUAGCGGGGGAUAACUAUUGGAAACGAUAGCUAAUACCGCAUAACAAUGGGUGACACAUGUCAUUUAUUUGAAAGGGGCAAUUGCUCCACUACAAGAUGGACCUGCGUUGUAUUAGCUAGUAGGUGAGGUAACGGCUCACCUAGGCGACGAUACAUAGCCGACCUGAGAGGGUGAUCGGCCACACUGGGACUGAGACACGGCCCAGGCUCCUACGGGAGGCAGCAGUAGGGAAUCUUCGGCAAUGGGGGCAACCCUGACCGAGCAACGCCGCGUGAGUGAAGAAGGUUUUCGGAUCGUAAAGCUCUGUUGUAAGUCAAGAACGAGUGUGAGAGUGGAAAGUUCACACUGUGACGGUAGCUUACCAGAAAGGGACGGCUAACUACGUGCCAGCAGCCGCGGUAAUACGUAGGUCCCGAGCGUUGUCCGGAUUUAUUGGGCGUAAAGCGAGCGCAGGCGGUUUGAUAAGUCUGAAGUUAAAGGCUGUGGCUCAACCAUAGUUCGCUUUGGAAACUGUCAAACUUGAGUGCAGAAGGGGAGAGUGGAAUUCCAUGUGUAGCGGUGAAAUGCGUAGAUAUAUGGAGGAACACCGGUGGCGGAAGCGGCUCUCUGGUCUGUAACUGACGCUGAGGCUCGAAAGCGUGGGGAGCGAACAGGAUUAGAUACCCUGGUAGUCCACGCCGUAAACGAUGAGUGCUAGGUGUUGGAUCCUUUCCGGGAUUCAGUGCCGCAGCUAACGCAUUAAGCACUCCGCCUGGGAGUACGA